CAGUCGCCGCGGUAAUACGAAGGGGGCUAGCGUUGCUCGGAAUGACUGGGCGUAAGGGCGCGUAGGCGGCGGCCAAGGUCAGGCGUGAAAUUCCCGGGCUCAACCUGGGGGCUGCGUUUGAUACUUGGUUGCUUGAGUGGGGAAGAGGGUCGUGGAAUUCCCAGUGUAGAGGUGAAAUUCGUAGAUAUUGGGAAGAACACCGGUGGCGAAGGCGGCGACCUGGUCCUUUACUGACGCUGAGGCGCGAAAGCGUGGGGAGCAAACAGGAUUAGAUACCCCUGUAGUCCCUGUCUCUUAUACA
RNAcentral lists this ribosomal RNA (301 nucleotides) under uncultured bacterium. RNAcentral's name for it is "partial 16S ribosomal RNA". It matches the Rfam family "Bacterial small subunit ribosomal RNA", at positions 509 to 808 of the family's 1533-position model. The record is from RNAcentral.